GUGCGAGGACCCAACAACAUUCCAGACGUUAAGGCCACGCCCCGGGCCACUCCCCCCUCGUCGGGCUGCGGCCUCCCAGUCUUCUCGGCCACACCCCCUUCCCAACUACUUAAAAGGACACUCCAAAGCUCACGUUUCUCUCUUCUGUACCGGGGUGUUCCUGUCUGGGUGUCUCUACCCGCUUACGGUGGAAUGGUUGCGCCCUUCGGGUAGCCAAGCAAGCCGCCAAGCCUAAGUCAGGGCCAGGCUGCUUUCAGGAUCCUAUUUCGUGACCAGGGAUGGAACCUGGAUCCAGAACAGUGAAGUGUCAAGGCCUAACCACUGGACUGCCAGGGCCCGCAUCCAAAUCCAUCCCCAGUUCUCCUGGAAGAUGCAAAUCUGAUCCUGGCUAUAUGAAAUGAUUCAGCAGUUCCCCGGGACUUGGAGAACAAGCUCAGAUGCCUGGCUCUGGCUCCUGGUGGCUCACCCGCCCCGUUUCUCACACACCUUCCUACACUCCCUGGUGCUUCUGUCCCGAAGAAGGGGUCACCUGUGGUUCUCUGGCACCGUGGGCUUCCAUGCUUUUGCACCUGCGGUUCUUUCCGUCUGGAGGUCCUACCCCCUCCCGGAAGCGAUGACUCCUCAUCCUUUUAAAAUACAAUUCAAGUGCCGCCUCUUCCUCAAACCCUCCCGGGUCCCAGCUGGACUGA
Molecule: long non-coding RNA, 689 nt
Organism: Odocoileus virginianus texanus
Lineage: Eukaryota; Metazoa; Chordata; Mammalia; Artiodactyla; Cervidae
Source: RefSeq, a predicted model, not a curated record